UACGAAGGGUGCGAGCGUUAUUCGGAAUCACUGGGCGUAAAGGGUGUGUAGACGGUAUGUUAAGUUCGUUGUUAAAGGCUCCGGCCUAACUGGAGUAUUGCAAUGAAAACUGGCGUGCUAGAGGGUGAGAGAGAGAAGUGGAAUUCCUGGAGUAGCGGUAAAAUGCGUGGAUCUCAGGAGGAACACCAAUGGCGAAGGCAGCUUCUUGGCUCAUUCCUGACGUUGAGGCACGAAAGCGUGGGGAGCAAACAGG
Molecule: ribosomal RNA, 253 nt
Filed under: uncultured bacterium
Lineage: Bacteria
Description: partial 16S ribosomal RNA
Rfam family: Bacterial small subunit ribosomal RNA
Source: RNAcentral